GGGAAGAGCACCGGAUCUUCGGCUGUUUCCCCGGUGCCCUGUGCUCCCGGGCCUGCCCUGCUGGAAUCGCGCUCCCGGCCGCGCAGACCCCU
Molecule: microRNA precursor, 92 nt
Filed under: Canis lupus familiaris (dog)
Lineage: Eukaryota; Metazoa; Chordata; Mammalia; Carnivora; Canidae
Also listed under: 1 other name
Description: mir-8799 microRNA precursor family
Rfam family: mir-8799 microRNA precursor family
Source: Rfam by way of RNAcentral